UCACAUCUGAGUUAGAUUUGUCAUGUAAUGGGUGACAACAUGUUGUUCUUUAUUCAAAGUCAAUGUCCAUGAUUGGCAUAGGCAUGAUGAUGUCUGUUAAGUCUAGAUCAUAGUUAAUGCACACCAGCUGUGCAGUGCAGUGAACAAAGAUUCUGGAAUUCACACAAUUUCUGAUGAACAUUUAAAAAUCUCAAUUGUGCUGAAGUACCCCAAAUAAAUGACUUUCUAUUUAUUUGCAACUAAAUUCCCGUUUAGAAGUGAUAAUUUAUGCAUAAUUCUGUGUUUUAAACCACGAAACUAUUUAUUUUAAGCGUUUCUUGGGGUUUUAUGACUCACUAAAAAUAGCAUUUAAUUUGAAAGUUACAUAAUCUUACUAGUUCAAACACUAUACGACUUAAAUCUGGAGAAUGAAUUUUAAAGUUAUGUUCACCAAUUCAAAGAUACCGUUCGAAUAGACUAUGCGGAACUGAAAUUAUAUGUGAUUAUUCUGCUUUUGAUAUUUUAAUGACUAGCUGAAAAUACACCAUUUUUGCGUGAAAUUGAUGUGUAUAUUGUGCUAAAAAUGGAACGGCCCAUUAGGUGUUAGUUCGGGAGGUACUCAUCGAUUUUUCCACAAAAUAUGAUAAAAAUAGUUAAAUCCUUUUGAAAUAUCAUAAAAAGGUCUGAAAAUUUGACAACACCUUCCAUAAUUUUUUUUUGGUUUUGCAUGGUUCUAUCGUAGACAGCCUCUUAAACAUAAACCAACAAUUCUUAAUUGUAAUUUCUUUUCUUCUUUAAAAAGGGUAUUGACAUCCCAAUAUUUAGUGGGAAGUUCCCAGGUAUCAUCCGCUAGCGACAGUCUACUGGCAAAUCCAGACAUGCAUUGGAAGGAUGCUGAUGUGGAGGACACAGGGACACCUGAUCCAAGAACUGUGGCAUUUCAUUCGGGGUGACAACCUGGCAUUCAGUUGGUAUGACUCUUUGAGGUUGAAUAUAGGGUUAAAUCAGUAUAAAUUUGGUUAACAUGCAAAUAAAUCCAGAUAAUACAUUCACAAAUGGAAUUGUGGUACACUGAUAUGCGUGUACCAUUUUACUGGGUUUUUUUUUUGGUUUUUGUUUUUUGUUUUUGCUGCAUUACUAGGGAUCGCAUACAUACAAAAAGAGACAAAACACGGAAAAUCAUUAUUCUUUUUCUAAUUAUAAGGUAUGACACGUUUUCUAAAUGCUGACAAAUAAGGUAUGGUGGCCAGUACUGAUUUUACUUGCAAUUUUCUUUCAGAUAUGGGACCCUAUUAUUCGAAGAACUGCAGAUUUUAUGAAACUGUCUUUGACAGAAGAUUUGGUUUUCUCCAUCUGUGUUGCCACCAACAAUUAUGCUGAGAUGGUAAGGGGGAAGGAUUGCCAUAUACUUCCCAAGGAAGUUUGCAGCCUCUCACUGAAGAGGAACUGUACAGAUUUUUGUGCAUUAUCUCAUACAUGCCUGCUGUGAAGUUCCAGUUGAUAGACAGAUAUUGGUGAACGCAUGUCCCUGUCGGAACAACUCAUUAUCAAGAAUUAUGUCUAGAAAUAGGUUUCAAGAGGUUGAAUAUAAGAACAUUUUUGUUAAAUAUGAUGCAAGUACAUUUAAAUCUAGUGAUUGAAAGUAAGUACUUGAACAUUCGUAUAUGUUGAAUUUAGAGAGGAAAAACGGUUAGUACAUGUACUUUUUGAUAACAUUUGAUAAGGUGUUGUUGCUUAGCAACCAAAUAUAAUUGAAUAAAAAAAAUAAAAUUAUUUUAGAUUAACAAUAAUUGAAAGAUCUUUGUUUUAAUGAUGCAAUACUUAUUCUAGUUAAUGGAACAUAAUGGCAAAACGUCAUAUUAUUAGAAAAUGAUGGACAAGUAUACAAAGUACGAAGUUUCCAUUUGAUGUCCUUUGACCUUAAUUCUCUUCAUCAUAUUUUUUGUUAAAAACCUUUUAAAAUGAUUAAGAUCUAUUUAAUGAUUAUAUUUUUAAAACAAUGUGACAUUUACUAAUCAUCAUGGAAUGUAAUUACGUUUAAAUUGUGUCGAAUGGAUGCAGAAAGGCAAAUUAUGGUCAAAAUUGUACUAUGAGUGUUGUUACUUAGCAACCAAAAAUAUUUGUUUGUCAAUAAAAUUGAUUAGUUUGA
Molecule: long non-coding RNA, 2128 nt
Organism: Ostrea edulis (European flat oyster)
Lineage: Eukaryota; Metazoa; Mollusca; Bivalvia; Ostreida; Ostreidae
Exons: 2
Source: RefSeq, a predicted model, not a curated record